This 460-nucleotide ribosomal RNA is filed under the name uncultured bacterium. RNAcentral's name for it is "partial 16S ribosomal RNA". It matches the Rfam family "Bacterial small subunit ribosomal RNA", at positions 338 to 795 of the family's 1533-position model. The record is from RNAcentral.
CCUACGGGUGGCAGCAGUGAGGAAUAUUGGUCAAUGGGCGGAAGCCUGAACCAGCCAAGUCGCGUGAGGGAAUAAGGCCCUACGGGUUGUAAACCUCUUUUGCCGGGGAGCAAGGGCGGGGACGUGUCCCGGCCCGGAGAUUACCCGGAGAAAAAGCUUCGGCUAACUCCGUCCCAGCAGCCGCGGUAAUCCGGGGAAUGCGGGCGUUAUCCGGAUUUUUUGGGUUUAAAGGGUGCGUAGGCGGGCUGUCAAGUCGGCGGUAAAAAUUCGGGGCUAAACCCCGUCCGGCCGUUGAAACUGGGUGCCUUGAGUGGGCGAGAAGAAGGCGGAAUGCGUGGUGUAGCGGUGAAAUGCUUAGAUAUCACGAAGAACUCCGAUUGCGAAGGCAGCUUACUAAACUGCCACUGACAUUGAUGCACGAAAGUGUGGGUAUCAAACAGGAUUAGAUACCCUGGUAGUC